This 253-nucleotide ribosomal RNA is filed under the name uncultured bacterium. Its description in RNAcentral is "partial 16S ribosomal RNA". It matches the Rfam family "Bacterial small subunit ribosomal RNA", at positions 524 to 776 of the family's 1533-position model. The record is from RNAcentral.
UACGAAGGGGGCUAGCGUUGUUCGGAUUUACUGGGCGUAAAGCGCACGUAGGCGGUUUGUUAAGUCAGGGGUGAAAUCCCAGAGCUCAACUCUGGAACUGCCUUCGAUACUGAGAGUCUCGAGUCCGGGAGAGGUGAGUGGAACUGCGAGUGUAGAGGUGAAAUUCGUAGAUAUUCGCAAGAACACCAGUGGCGAAGGCGGCUCACUGGCCCGGUACUGACGCUGAGGUGCGAAAGCGUGGGGAGCAAACAGG